RNAcentral lists this ribosomal RNA (433 nucleotides) under uncultured bacterium. RNAcentral's name for it is "partial 16S ribosomal RNA". It matches the Rfam family "Bacterial small subunit ribosomal RNA", at positions 29 to 507 of the family's 1533-position model. The record is from RNAcentral.
AACGAACGCUGGCGGCAUGCCUAACACAUGCAAGUCGAACGAGACCUUCGGGUCUAGUGGCGCACGGGUGCGUAACGCGUGGGAACCUGCCCUUAGGUUCGGAAUAACUCCCCGAAAGGGGUGCUAAUACCGGAUAAUGUCUUCGGACCAACGAUUUAUCGCCUUUGGAUGGGCCCGCGUUGGAUUAGCUAGUUGGUAGGGUAAAAGCCUACCCAGGCGACGCUCCAUAGCUGGUCUGAGAAGAUGAUCAGCCACACUGGGACUGAGACACGGCCCAGACUACUACGGGAGGCAGCGGUGGGGAAUAGUGGACGAUGGGCGGCAGCCUGAUGCAGCCAUGCCGCGUGAGUGAUGCAGGCCUUAGGGUUGUAAAGCUCUUUUACCCGGGAUGAUAAUGACAGUACCGGGAGAAUAAGCUCCGGCUAACUCCGUG